UCCAAACUGAGGGUGUGAACUGUUGGU
Molecule: non-coding RNA, 27 nt
Filed under: Homo sapiens (human)
Lineage: Eukaryota; Metazoa; Chordata; Mammalia; Primates; Hominidae
Source: RNAcentral